This 2864-nucleotide ribosomal RNA is filed under the name Escherichia coli. Its description in RNAcentral is "partial 23S ribosomal RNA". It matches the Rfam family "Bacterial large subunit ribosomal RNA". The record is from RNAcentral. Lineage: Bacteria; Pseudomonadati; Pseudomonadota; Gammaproteobacteria; Enterobacterales; Enterobacteriaceae. RNAcentral also lists the same sequence under 1 other name.
GGUUAAGCGACUAAGCGUACACGGUGGAUGCCCUGGCAGUCAGAGGCGAUGAAGGACGUGCUAAUCUGCGAUAAGCGUCGGUAAGGUGAUAUGAACCGUUAUAACCGGCGAUUUCCGAAUGGGGAAACCCAGUGUGAUUCGUCACACUAUCAUUAACUGAAUCCAUAGGUUAAUGAGGCGAACCGGGGGAACUGAAACAUCUAAGUACCCCGAGGAAAAGAAAUCAACCGAGAUUCCCCCAGUAGCGGCGAGCGAACGGGGAGCAGCCCAGAGCCUGAAUCAGUGUGUGUGUUAGUGGAAGCGUCUGGAAAGGCGUGCGAUACAGGGUGACAGCCCCGUACACAAAAAUGCACAUACUGUGAGCUCGAUGAGUAGGGCGGGACACGUGGUAUCCUGUCUGAAUAUGGGGGGACCAUCCUCCAAGGCUAAAUACUCCUGACUGACCGAUAGUGAACCAGUACCGUGAGGGAAAGGCGAAAAGAACCCCGGCGAGGGGAGUGAAAAAGAACCUGAAACCGUGUACGUACAAGCAGUGGGAGCACGCUUAGGCGUGUGACUGCGUACCUUUUGUAUAAUGGGUCAGCGACUUAUAUUCUGUAGCAAGGUUAACCGAAUAGGGGAGCCGAAGGGAAACCGAGUCUUAACUGGGCGUUAAGUUGCAGGGUAUAGACCCGAAACCCGGUGAUCUAGCCAUGGGCAGGUUGAAGGUUGGGUAACACUAACUGGAGGACCGAACCGACUAAUGUUGAAAAAUUAGCGGAUGACUUGUGGCUGGGGGUGAAAGGCCAAUCAAACCGGGAGAUAGCUGGUUCUCCCCGAAAGCUAUUUAGGUAGCGCCUCGUGAAUUCAUCUCCGGGGGUAGAGCACUGUUUCGGCAAGGGGGUCAUCCCGACUUACCAACCCGAUGCAAACUGCGAAUACCGGAGAAUGUUAUUACGGGAGACACACGGCGGGUGCUAACGUCCGUCGUGAAGAGGGAAACAACCCAGACCGCCAGCUAAGGUCCCAAAGUCAUGGUUAAGUGGGAAACGAUGUGGGAAGGCCCAGACAGCCAGGAUGUUGGCUUAGAAGCAGCCAUCAUUUAAAGAAAGCGUAAUAGCUCACUGGUCGAGUCGGCCUGCGCGGAAGAUGUAACGGGGCUAAACCAUGCACCGAAGCUGCGGCAGCGACGCUUAUGCGUUGUUGGGUAGGGGAGCGUUCUGUAAGCCUGUGAAGGUGUGCUGUGAGGUAUGCUGGAGGUAUCAGAAGUGCGAAUGCUGACAUAAGUAACGAUAAAGCGGGUGAAAAGCCCGCUCGCCGGAAGACCAAGGGUUCCUGUCCAACGUUAAUCGGGGCAGGGUGAGUCGACCCCUAAGGCGAGGCCGAAAGGCGUAGUCGAUGGGAAACAGGUUAAUAUUCCUGUACUUGGUGUUACUGCGAAGGGGGGACGGAGAAGGCUAUGUUGGCCGGGCGACGGUUGUCCCGGUUUAAGCGUGUAGGCUGGUUUUCCAGGCAAAUCCGGAAAAUCAAGGCCGAGGCGUGAUGACGAGGCACUACGGUGCUGAAGCAACAAAUGCCCUGCUUCCAGGAAAAGCCUCUAAGCAUCAGGUAACAUCAAAUCGUACCCCAAACCGACACAGGUGGUCAGGUAGAGAAUACCAAGGCGCUUGAGAGAACUCGGGUGAAGGAACUAGGCAAAAUGGUGCCGUAACUUCGGGAGAAGGCACGCUGAUACGUAGGUGAAGCGACUUGCUCGUGGAGCUGAAAUCAGUCGAAGAUACCAGCUGGCUGCAACUGUUUAUUAAAAACACAGCACUGUGCAAACACGAAAGUGGACGUAUACGGUGUGACGCCUGCCCGGUGCCGGAAGGUUAAUUGAUGGGGUUAGCGCAAGCGAAGCUCUUGAUCGAAGCCCCGGUAAACGGCGGCCGUAACUAUAACGGUCCUAAGGUAGCGAAAUUCCUUGUCGGGUAAGUUCCGACCUGCACGAAUGGCGUAAUGAUGGCCAGGCUGUCUCCACCCGAGACUCAGUGAAAUUGAACUCGCUGUGAAGAUGCAGUGUACCCGCGGCAAGACGGAAAGACCCCGUGAACCUUUACUAUAGCUUGACACUGAACAUUGAGCCUUGAUGUGUAGGAUAGGUGGGAGGCUUUGAAGUGUGGACGCCAGUCUGCAUGGAGCCGACCUUGAAAUACCACCCUUUAAUGUUUGAUGUUCUAACGUGGACCCGUGAUCCGGGUUGCGGACAGUGUCUGGUGGGUAGUUUGACUGGGGCGGUCUCCUCCUAAAGAGUAACGGAGGAGCACGAAGGUUGGCUAAUCCUGGUCGGACAUCAGGAGGUUAGUGCAAUGGCAUAAGCCAGCUUGACUGCGAGCGUGACGGCGCGAGCAGGUGCGAAAGCAGGUCAUAGUGAUCCGGUGGUUCUGAAUGGAAGGGCCAUCGCUCAACGGAUAAAAGGUACUCCGGGGAUAACAGGCUGAUACCGCCCAAGAGUUCAUAUCGACGGCGGUGUUUGGCACCUCGAUGUCGGCUCAUCACAUCCUGGGGCUGAAGUAGGUCCCAAGGGUAUGGCUGUUCGCCAUUUAAAGUGGUACGCGAGCUGGGUUUAGAACGUCGUGAGACAGUUCGGUCCCUAUCUGCCGUGGGCGCUGGAGAACUGAGGGGGGCUGCUCCUAGUACGAGAGGACCGGAGUGGACGCAUCACUGGUGUUCGGGUUGUCAUGCCAAUGGCACUGCCCGGUAGCUAAAUGCGGAAGAGAUAAGUGCUGAAAGCAUCUAAGCACGAAACUUGCCCCGAGAUGAGUUCUCCCUGACCCUUUAAGGGUCCUGAAGGAACGUUGAAGACGACGACGUUGAUAGGCCGGGUGUGUAAGCGCAGCGAUGCG